This 1611-nucleotide ribosomal RNA is filed under the name Salmonella enterica subsp. enterica serovar Typhimurium. Its description in RNAcentral is "partial 23S ribosomal RNA". It matches the Rfam family "Bacterial large subunit ribosomal RNA", at positions 1213 to 2805 of the family's 2925-position model. The record is from RNAcentral. Lineage: Bacteria; Pseudomonadati; Pseudomonadota; Gammaproteobacteria; Enterobacterales; Enterobacteriaceae.
GCUGAUGCGUUGUUGGGUAGGGGAGCGUUCUGUAAGCCUGCGAAGGUGACCUGUGAGGGUUGCUGGAGGUAUCAGAAGUGCGAAUGCUGACAUAAGUAACGAUAAAGCGGGUGAAAAGCCCGCUCGCCGGAAGACCAAGGGUUCCUGUCCAACGUUAAUCGGGGCAGGGUGAGUCGACCCCUAAGGCGAGGCCGAAAGGCGUAGUCGAUGGGAAACGGGUUAAUAUUCCCGUACUUGGUGUUACUGCGAAGGGGGGACGGAGAAGGCUAUGUUGGCCGGGCGACGGUUGUCCCGGUUUAAGCGUGUAGGUGUGUGUUCCAGGUAAAUCCGGUUCACUUUAACACUGAGGCGUGAUGACGAGGCACUACGGUGCUGAAGCAACAAAUGCCCUGCUUCCAGGAAAAGCCUCUAAGCAUCAGGUAACAUCAAAUCGUACCCCAAACCGACACAGGUGGUCAGGUAGAGAAUACCAAGGCGCUUGAGAGAACUCGGGUGAAGGAACUAGGCAAAAUGGUGCCGUAACUUCGGGAGAAGGCACGCUGACACGUAGGUGAAGUGAUUUACUCACGGAGCUGAAGUCAGUCGAAGAUACCAGCUGGCUGCAACUGUUUAUUAAAAACACAGCACUGUGCAAACACGAAAGUGGACGUAUACGGUGUGACGCCUGCCCGGUGCCGGAAGGUUAAUUGAUGGGGUCAGCGCAAGCGAAGCUCCUGAUCGAAGCCCCGGUAAACGGCGGCCGUAACUAUAACGGUCCUAAGGUAGCGAAAUUCCUUGUCGGGUAAGUUCCGACCUGCACGAAUGGCGUAAUGAUGGCCAGGCUGUCUCCACCCGAGACUCAGUGAAAUUGAACUCGCUGUGAAGAUGCAGUGUACCCGCGGCAAGACGGAAAGACCCCGUGAACCUUUACUAUAGCUUGACACUGAACAUUGAGCCUUGAUGUGUAGGAUAGGUGGGAGGCUUUGAAGUGUGGACGCCAGUCUGCAUGGAGCCGACCUUGAAAUACCACCCUUUAAUGUUUGAUGUUCUAACGUGGACCCGUAAUCCGGGUUGCGGACAGUGUCUGGUGGGUAGUUUGACUGGGGCGGUCUCCUCCUAAAGAGUAACGGAGGAGCACGAAGGUUGGCUAAUCCUGGUCGGACAUCAGGAGGUUAGUGCAAUGGCAUAAGCCAGCUUGACUGCGAGCGUGACGGCGCGAGCAGGUGCGAAAGCAGGUCAUAGUGAUCCGGUGGUUCUGAAUGGAAGGGCCAUCGCUCAACGGAUAAAAGGUACUCCGGGGAUAACAGGCUGAUACCGCCCAAGAGUUCAUAUCGACGGCGGUGUUUGGCACCUCGAUGUCGGCUCAUCACAUCCUGGGGCUGAAGUAGGUCCCAAGGGUAUGGCUGUUCGCCAUUUAAAGUGGUACGCGAGCUGGGUUUAGAACGUCGUGAGACAGUUCGGUCCCUAUCUGCCGUGGGCGCUGGAGAACUGAGGGGGGCUGCUCCUAGUACGAGAGGACCGGAGUGGACGCAUCACUGGUGUUCGGGUUGUCAUGCCAAUGGCACUGCCCGGUAGCUAAAUGCGGAAGAGAUAAGUGCUGAAAGCAUCUAAGCACGAAACUUGCCCCGAGAU